GUCCUUUCGUGCAUUCCUCUUCAAUUAUUGGCACAAGAGCCUCUUUUGCCUUGGCCAAGUUGUCGGUUUCCUGUACUGUAUACCUACAUCAACGGAAUUUGUUGGGCAAUCUAUCCAAAGUUUUCCCAUUGCUGCCCGAUUACACGGUGCGGCAUYGGGCAAACCUKGAAGCGAAAUUCGUGUCCCGAAUUGCAUAUAAAUUUCUAUACAGUCUCGGCCCACGAGCGUAGCUUGAUUUCGGGGAUUCGGAAAACACUGCAUGUAAGGGUCGGAUAACCCGCUAUUGGCCCACGAAUUGGCAUUACAUGCCCCAUUCGAUCGACGCUCGAUGCCUCAUAGAUGUUUUACAUCUUGCGACUCGAUGUCYCUGAAGAAWGCUACCUGGUUGAUCCUGCCAGUAGUCAUAUGCUUGUCUCAAAGA
RNAcentral lists this unclassified non-coding RNA (421 nucleotides) under Psychotria sp. 5 LB-2013. Its description in RNAcentral is "partial external transcribed spacer". The record is from RNAcentral. Lineage: Eukaryota; Viridiplantae; Streptophyta; Magnoliopsida; Gentianales; Rubiaceae.